GUGGGGAAUAUUGCACAAUGGGGGAAACCCUGAUGCAGCGACGCCGCGUGAGCGAAGAAGUAUUUCGGUAUGUAAAGCUCUAUCAGCAGGGAAGAAACUGACGGUACCUGACUAAGAAGCACCGGCUAAAUACGUGCCAGCAGCCGCGGUAAUACGUAUGGUGCAAGCGUUAUCCGGAUUUACUGGGUGUAAAGGGAGCGUAGACGGAGUGGCAAGUCUGGAGUGAAAACCCAGGGCUCAACCCUGGGACUGCUUUGGAAACUGUCAAUCUAGAGUGCUGGAGAGGUAAGUGGAAUUCCUAGUGUAGCGGUGAAAUGCGUAGAUAUUAGGAGGAACACCAGUGGCGAAGGCGGCUUACUGGACAGUGACUGACGUUGAGGCUCGAAAGCGUGGGGAGCAAACAGGAUUAGAUACCCGAGUAGUCC
RNAcentral lists this ribosomal RNA (425 nucleotides) under uncultured bacterium. Its description in RNAcentral is "bacterial SSU rRNA". It matches the Rfam family "Bacterial small subunit ribosomal RNA", at positions 354 to 796 of the family's 1533-position model. The record is from RNAcentral.